GAGGAAUAAGCAUCGGCUAACUCCGUGCCAGCAGCCGCGGUAAUACGGGGGAUGCAAGCGUUAUCCGGAAUCAUUGGGCGUAAAGCGCCUGUAGGUUGUUUAAUAAGUCUGUUGUUAAAGACUAGGGCUUAACCCUAGAAAAGCAAUGGAAACUACUAGACUAGAGUAUGGCAGGGGUAGAGGGAAUUUCUAGUGUAGCGGUGAAAUGCGUAGAUAUUAGAAAGAACACCGGUGGCGAAAGCGCUCUACUGGACCAUUACUGACACUCAGAGGCGAAAGCUAGGGUAGCAAAAGGGAUUAGAUACCCCUGUAGUCCUAGCCGUAAACGAUGGAUACUACAUGUUGUGCAUUAUGUACAGUAUGGUAGCUAACGCGUUAAGUAUCCCGCCUGGGGAGUACGCUCGCAAGGGUGAAACUCAAAGGAAUUGACGGGGGCCCGCACAAGCGGUGGAGCAUGUGGUUUAAUUCGAUGCAACGCGAAGAACCUUACCAGGACUUGACAUACUACAAAUUCUUUUGAGAAAAAGAAGUGCCUUCGGGAAUGUAGAUACAGGUGGUGCAUGGCUGUCGUCAGCUCGUGUCGUGAGAUGUUGGGUUAAGUCCCGCAACGAGCGCAACCCUUAUUUUUAGUUACCAAUUCGUUGGGUUCUCUAGAAAGACUGCCGGUGACAAACCGGAGGAAGGUGAGGAUGACGUCAAGUCAGCAUGCCCCUUAUGUCCUGGGCUACACACGUGCUACAAUGGUUAAGACAAAGAGUCGCGAGCUCGCAAGAGUCAGCUAAUCUCAUAAACUUAGCCCAAGUUCAGAUUGUAGGCUGCAACUCGCCUGCAUGAAG
RNAcentral lists this ribosomal RNA (836 nucleotides) under Haptophyta environmental samples. Its description in RNAcentral is "bacterial SSU rRNA". It matches the Rfam family "Bacterial small subunit ribosomal RNA", at positions 481 to 1325 of the family's 1533-position model. The record is from RNAcentral. Lineage: Eukaryota; Haptophyta.